Tachyglossus aculeatus (Australian echidna) is the source of this 139-nucleotide small nucleolar RNA. NCBI's taxonomy places the organism in Eukaryota, Metazoa, Chordata, Mammalia, Monotremata, Tachyglossidae. The record is from RefSeq and is a predicted model, not a curated record.
CUCUCCUCAGGUUCGCACCUGGAGAGUUUCCAGUACUCUACCAGUCUCGGCUAUUGGGAGGGAACGUCCAGCGGAGGCCUACCCAUGCCAUUCCUAGUUUUGGCAAUGACUAGUGAGUGGAAAGCAAUCUGCUACAAGU